UACGGAGGGUGCAAGCGUUAUCCGGAUUCACUGGGUUUAAAGGGUGCGUAGGCGGGCAGGUAAGUCCGUGGUGAAAUCUCUGAGCUUAACUCAGAAACUGCCAUGGAUACUAUUUGUCUUGAAUAUUGUGGAGGUAAGCGGAAUAUGUCAUGUAGCGGUGAAAUGCUUAGAUAUGACAUAGAACACCAAUUGCGAAGGCAGCUUACUACUCAAUCAUUGACUCUGAGGCACGAAAGCGUGGGGAUCAAACAGG
RNAcentral lists this ribosomal RNA (253 nucleotides) under uncultured bacterium. RNAcentral's name for it is "partial 16S ribosomal RNA". It matches the Rfam family "Bacterial small subunit ribosomal RNA", at positions 524 to 776 of the family's 1533-position model. The record is from RNAcentral.